RNAcentral lists this ribosomal RNA (497 nucleotides) under uncultured bacterium. RNAcentral describes it as "partial 16S ribosomal RNA". It matches the Rfam family "Bacterial small subunit ribosomal RNA", at positions 28 to 507 of the family's 1533-position model. The record is from RNAcentral.
GAUGAACGCUGGCGGCGUGCCUAAUACAUGCAAGUCGAGCGAACAGACGAGGAGCUUGCUCCUCUGACGUUAGCGGCGGACGGGUGAGUAACACGUGGAUAACCUACCUAUAAGACUGGGAUAACUUCGGGAAACCGGAGCUAAUACCGGAUAAUAUAUUGAACCGCAUGGUUCAAUAGUGAAAGACGGUUUUGCUGUCACUUAUAGAUGGAUCCGCGCCGCAUUAGCUAGUUGGUAAGGUAACGGCUUACCAAGGCGACGAUGCGUAGCCGACCUGAGAGGGUGAUCGGCCACACUGGAUCUGAGACACGGUCCAGACUCCUACGGGAGGCAGCAGUAGGGAAUCUUCCGCAAUGCGCGAAAGCCUGACGGAGCAACGCCGCGUGAGUGAUGAAGGUCUUCGGAUCGUAAAACUCUGUUAUUAGGGAAGAACAAAUGUGUAAGUAACUAUGCACGUCUUGACGGUACCUAAUCAGAAAGCCACGGCUAACUACGUG